This 70-nucleotide transfer RNA is filed under the name Pangasianodon gigas (Mekong giant catfish). RNAcentral's name for it is "tRNA-Gln". The stretch from base 8 to 64 matches the Rfam family "tRNA", at positions 8 to 63 of the family's 71-position model. From Rfam's summary of the family: Transfer RNA (tRNA) molecules are approximately 80 nucleotides in length. Their secondary structure includes four short double-helical elements and three loops (D, anti-codon, and T loops). The record is from RNAcentral. Lineage: Eukaryota; Metazoa; Chordata; Actinopteri; Siluriformes; Pangasiidae.
UUCAGCUUGGUGUAAUGGCUGGCACUCUGGACUCUGAAUCCAGUGCUCUGAGUUCAACUCUCAGUGGAAC